Oryza glaberrima (African rice) is the source of this 202-nucleotide non-coding RNA. The record is from Rfam. NCBI's taxonomy places the organism in Eukaryota, Viridiplantae, Streptophyta, Magnoliopsida, Poales, Poaceae.
UAACUUUUUUCCUAGUCAAAUUUAUUUAAGUUUGACCAAGUUUAUAGAAAACAAAUAUUAGCAUUUUCACCACAAAACAAACAUAUUACCAAAAAUAUAUUCAAUUUUAGAUUUAAUGAAACUGAUUUGGUGUUUUAGAUGUUGCUAAUUUUUUCUAUAAAUUUGGUCAAACUUGGUAAAGUUUGACUAGGAAAAAAGUCAA